GCUCCGGUGGCCAAGUGGUUAGAGCAUCCACCUCGGAUGCGGGAGGUCGUGGGUUCAAACUCCGACCGUGUCA
Molecule: non-coding RNA, 73 nt
Organism: Potamilus streckersoni
Lineage: Eukaryota; Metazoa; Mollusca; Bivalvia; Unionida; Unionidae
Source: the annotation of a GenBank genome assembly